RNAcentral lists this ribosomal RNA (502 nucleotides) under Grammomys sp. RNAcentral describes it as "partial small subunit ribosomal RNA". It matches the Rfam family "Bacterial large subunit ribosomal RNA", at positions 1854 to 2584 of the family's 2925-position model. The record is from RNAcentral. Lineage: Eukaryota; Metazoa; Chordata; Mammalia; Rodentia; Muridae.
ACUGCUGCCCAGUGUCAAGGUUAAACGGCCGCGGUAUCCUGACCGCACAAAGGUAGCAUAAUCACUUGUUCCUUAAUUAGGGACUAGCAUGAAUGGCAAGACGAGGAUUUAACUGUCUCUUACUUCUAAUCAGUGAAAUUGACCUUCCAGUGAAGAGGCUGGAAUAAAACAAUAAGACGAGAAGACCCUGUGGAGCUUUAAUUAACUAGCCUAACUAUUAAACUCCCACCCUAAUGGUACAAAAACAAAACUAUAGGCUAACAAUUUUGGUUGGGGUGACCUCGGAGAACAAAACAACCUCCGGAUGAUUCUAGCACAGACACACAAGUCAAAGCAAAACACUUAGUCUAAUUGAACCAAACUAUUUGACCAACGGACCAAGUUACCCUAGGAAUAACAGCGCAAUCCUAUUUAAGAGUCCAUAUCGACAAUAGGGUUUACGACAUCGAUGUUGGAUCAGGACAUGUGAAUGUGCAGAACGUAUUAAGGUUCGUUCGUUCAC